UACAGAGGGGGCAAGCGUUGUUCGGAAUUACUGGGCGUAAAGGGCGCGUAGGCGGCCUGCUAAGUCGAACGUGAAAUCCCCGAGCUCAACUCGGGAACUGCGUCCGAUACUGGCAGGCUUGAAUCCGGGAGAGGGAUGCGGAAUUCCAGGUGUAGCGGUGAAAUGCGUAGAUAUCGGGAGGAACACCAGCGGCGAAGGCGGCACUCUGGGCUGGUACUGACGCUGAGGAGCGAAAGCGUGGGUAGCAAACAGG
This 253-nucleotide ribosomal RNA is filed under the name uncultured bacterium. RNAcentral's name for it is "partial 16S ribosomal RNA". It matches the Rfam family "Bacterial small subunit ribosomal RNA", at positions 524 to 776 of the family's 1533-position model. The record is from RNAcentral.